Bos taurus (domestic cattle) is the source of this 760-nucleotide long non-coding RNA. NCBI's taxonomy places the organism in Eukaryota, Metazoa, Chordata, Mammalia, Artiodactyla, Bovidae. The record is from Ensembl.
CUGGUAACUGAUGAGCACACCUGAUGUCAGUUCCCUUGUAACUGGUAACCUCCCUUUGCCCCUGCUACCAAAGACUGCACGUCUUGCCCUGGUGUCUUUGCUGCUGUCUAUCGACUUGAUGGGGUGUUGCUCCAGGAUCCUGCUUCAGAUAAAUAAGCUCCCCCAUCCAUUAAAACAUUAAUGUCCCUGUUGCUGCCUUAGAGCUCUUUCUUCAGUCUUGAGGCUGGGUGUGGCGCAAGGUCUGAGGACAACUUCUCAGUGAUCCUUGAAACACCUGACACCAGUCAGGACCACACUGACAGCCACAGAGCCAGAUGGUUACCAAAGUCCACUCCUGUGCAGCCAUCUGCAGUCCGCUAGAUCUUCAGUAAAGGAGCCUUUAUAUUUGUUAUCCAUGGGGAGCUUGGUCUUGUAGAAAUCAAUCGGCCACUACCAGAAGCAGAAUCUUGAAGAGUGAAUUCUCUUAGGAAUCUUACUGAUCAGCUGGCAGCUAUAGUCACACAAUGCGUGCGUGUGUGCUCAGUUGCUUCAGUCAUGUCCAACUCUUUGAGACCCAUGGACUGUGGCCCACCAGGCUCCUCUAUCCUUGGAAUUCUCCAGACAAGAAUGCUGGAGUGGGUUGCCAUGCCCUCCUCCAGGGGAUCUUCCAACCCAGGAAUCAAACCCAUGUCUGCCUGCAUCUCCUGCAUUGCAAGCGGAUUCUUCAGUAGGAGCCACCUGAGAAGGGCCUAGUCACACAGUACCCAACCUGUUUUUGUUC